Molecule: long non-coding RNA, 322 nt
Filed under: Danio rerio (zebrafish)
Lineage: Eukaryota; Metazoa; Chordata; Actinopteri; Cypriniformes; Danionidae
Description: lncRNA si:ch1073-209b21.1 (ENSDARG00000096742.2)
Source: RNAcentral
AUAUGUGUGUCCUUGAUCCAGAUGGUUAUUCCUUCUUCAUCAUCAUCAUCAUCAUCCACCUUCCCCCAAAACAAACCCAUCUCCACCUGAGUCAUCCAUCCACUGACGCCCGCAGAGGACAGAUGUAGGAUAACUUCAUGUUGCGUCUGUAUCUUCCUCCCAGCAUGGGUGUCAAACCCCUGUCAUGUUAAAGCUGGUGAGGUUCGACUUCACACCGUUACUCAAGGAUUCUUUAAAUGGAGAGCAGACUUUCAUCUUUGCAAACUGGCGUGAGAGUGAGAACACACCGUCCCUUGAGUGAAAGGAAGCUCUUACAAGGUGA